GGUACCUUUCUGGAUCCGAGUCCCCAUUGUUAAAUUUUUUGGAUCCGUACCCAGAACCGAUCCCACCUGUUGCCACCCCUAGCUCCAGAUGCCUCCUCUACCUCCCUCUCUAUAAUUGAAUUUGCUUGCCGUCCGCUAUACAGCUUCAAAGGAACACCAGACUUCAUCAUAAGCUGCUAAACCCAAAACCGUGAAUCCUAGCAUCAAGAUGAGUGGCGCGUGCGGGAUCACGUUCCGAGCACCCCAUCACCACUGCCCCACUUCACAAAACCCUAACUCCACCACCCCAAAAAUCCCUGUCUUCCCCCUCCCCAUCAAUACCAAUAAGCGUUUCCACCCUCUGUGCUCAUCGGCUUCAUCACAAACCCAAAAAACUGAAAAUAAGAACCCCCUGGUGGUGGUGGGCUCGGCAAAUGCAGACAUUUAUGUCGAGAUCGAGAGGCUCCCAAAGGAAGGAGAGACUGUGGCUGCAAAAAGGGGUCAAACCCUAGCAGGUGGGAAGGGGGCGAACCAGGCUGCGUGUGCCGGGAUGCUGGAUUACCACCCCACUUAUUUCAUAGGGCAGGUGGGUGAGGAUGCUCAUGGCAGAUUGGUGACGGAUGCGUUGGCCCAGGGAGGCAUCUGCUUGGAGCAUGUGAAGAGGGUGGAGGGGGAACCCACGGGGCAUGCCGUGGUGAUGCUGCUUGGAUCUGAUGGGCAGAAUUCUAUCAUCAUAGUUGGGGGGGCAAACACGAGUGGCUGGCCAGACCCUCUGCCGGAGGAGGAUCUUUGGGUUGUCAGGAAUGCGGGGGUCCUCCUUUUGCAGAGGGAGAUACCUGACGCCGUCAACAUUCAGGUCGCAAAGGCUGCAAACAGUGCACAUGUUCCCGUCAUUUUGGAUGCUGGGGGGAUGGAGGGACCAAUCCCUCGAGAACUACUUAAAGCUGUUGAUAUUUUCAGCCCAAAUGAGACUGAAUUGGCACGCUUGACAGGGAUGCCAACGGACACUUCCGAACAAAUUGCGGAAGGAAUUUCAAAAUGCCAUGAAAUGCAGUGUACCCAUGUGUGGAAGUGUCGACAAUGGCCAAAACGUGACAGCAAGCUCGACAUGGACAGCAACAUGACAGCAAGCUUCGCAUAGAGUGUCCAGGGAGUGAAGCAAGUUUUGUUAAAACUUGGAGCAAAGGGAUCAGCACUUUUUACAGAAGGUGAGGAGCGUCCCAUUAUACAGCCGAUUAUUGCGACCUCAAAAGUUGUUGAUACAACUGGUGCUGGUGAUACUUUCACUGCUGCGUUUGCGGUGGCUCUAGUCGAGGGGAAGUCGAAUAAGGAGUGCUUGAAAUUUGCAGCUGCAGCAGCAUCUCUCUGUGUUCAAGUGAAGGGAGCCAUCCCUAGCAUGCCUAAUAGGAAGGCAGUUUUGGAGCUGCUUCAAUCUCUUUGAAGAAAAGUUUUCUCCUUUUGGCGUGUGAGAGAUGUUGAUUUCUUUUCUAAUGAAUACAUCAAAUGAAAAGAAAAGAUGGGUGUAAUAUGCUUCUAUCUUAACAUGUAGGCAAACUGGAUCAAAUAUUUAUAAGAAGGGAGAUAAAAUGUGCAUACCUAAUAAUACAAAAUGAUCAUUUAUUCUGAAAUUAUGUUGUGCUUCGUAACAGUUCUGUUAUUUAUUGGCAAGUGAAAGAAUGUGAGAGGAUAUAUUCGGACUGUAAUUUGUCAACCA
Amborella trichopoda is the source of this 1693-nucleotide RNA transcript. It is a transcript of the gene named ribokinase, with no coding region annotated. NCBI's taxonomy places the organism in Eukaryota, Viridiplantae, Streptophyta, Magnoliopsida, Amborellales, Amborellaceae. The record is from RefSeq and is a predicted model, not a curated record.